GUAACACGUGAGCAACCUGCCCCUGACUCUGGGAUAACAGUCGGAAACGAUUGCUAAUACCGGAUAUGCACCAUGAACGCAUGUUCUGUGGUGGGAAAGAUUUUUUGGUUGGGGAUGGGCUCGCGGCCUAUCAGCUUGUUGGUGAGGUAAUGGCUCACCAAGGCGUCGACGGGUAGCCGGCCUGAGAGGGUGACCGGCCACACUGGGACUGAGACACGGCCCAGACUCCUACGGGAGGCAGCAGUGGGGAAUAUUGCACAAUGGGCGAAAGCCUGAUGCAGCAACGCCGCGUGAGGGAUGACGGCCUUCGGGUUGUAAACCUCUUUUAGCAGGGAAGAAGCGAGAGUGACGGUACCUGCAGAAAAAGCGCCGGCUAACUACGUGCCAGCAGCCGCGGUAAUACGUAGGGCGCAAGCGUUAUCCGGAAUUAUUGGGCGUAAAGAAGCUCGUAGGCGGUUUGUCGCGUCUGCUGUGAAAACUGGAGGCUCAACCUCCAGCCUGCAGUGGGUACGGGCAGACUAGAGUGCGGUAGGGGAGAUUGGAAUUCCUGGUGUAGCGGUGGAAUGCGCAGAUAUCAGGAGGAACACCGAUGGCGAAGGCAGAUCUCUGGGCCGUAACUGACGCUGAGGAGCGAAAGGGUGGGGAGCAAACAGGCUUAGAUACCCUGGUAGUCCACCCCGUAAACGUUGGGAACUAGUUGUGGGGGCCUUUCCACGGUCUCCGUGACGCAGCUAACGCAUUAAGUUCCCCGCCUGGGGGGGUACGGCGGCAAGGCUAAAACUCAAAGGAAGUGACGGGGGACC
Molecule: ribosomal RNA, 803 nt
Filed under: Microbacterium hydrocarbonoxydans
Lineage: Bacteria; Bacillati; Actinomycetota; Actinomycetes; Micrococcales; Microbacteriaceae
Description: bacterial SSU rRNA
Rfam family: Bacterial small subunit ribosomal RNA
Source: RNAcentral